RNAcentral lists this ribosomal RNA (602 nucleotides) under uncultured fungus. Its description in RNAcentral is "eukaryotic LSU rRNA". The stretch from base 207 to 360 matches the Rfam family "5.8S ribosomal RNA". The record is from RNAcentral. Lineage: Eukaryota; Fungi.
AGUAAAAGUCGUAACAAGGUCUCCGUAGGUGAACCUGCGGAGGGAUCAUUACAAGUGACCCCGGUUUACCACCGGGAUGUUCAUAACCCUUUGUUGUCCGACUCUGUUGCCUCCGGGGCGACCCUGCCUUCGGGCGGGGGCUCCGGGUGGACACUUCAAACUCUUGCGUAACUUUGCAGUCUGAGUAAACUUAAUUAAUAAAUUAAAACUUUUAACAACGGAUCUCUUGGUUCUGGCAUCGAUGAAGAACGCAGCGAAAUGCGAUAAGUAAUGUGAAUUGCAGAAUUCAGUGAAUCAUCGAAUCUUUGAACGCACAUUGCGCCCCCUGGUAUUCCGGGGGGCAUGCCUGUUCGAGCGUCAUUUCACCACUCAAGCCUCGCUUGGUAUUGGGCAACGCGGUCCGCCGCGUGCCUCAAAUCGACCGGCUGGGUCUUCUGUCCCCUAAGCGUUGUGGAAACUAUUCGCUAAAGGGUGUUCGGGAGGCUACGCCGUAAAACAACCCCAUUUCUAAGGUUGACCUCGGAUCAGGUAGGGAUACCCGCUGAACUUAAGCAUAUCAAUAAGCGGAGGAAAAGAAACCAACAGGGAUUGCCCCAGUAACG